UCUCCGGGACUCCGAGUCCGGGAUCCCGCUCGGGCUGUGUCCGGGAGUCUCGCCGCGGACGAAUGGGCGAGCGGCAGCCUUGGUCCCGACUCCGGGAGGGAGCGGCGGCAGCUCCGCGCAUCACGGCCUCCCGCCCGCCUUCUCCUCGGCUCCCCCUGCUGGCGGGAGGAGGGCUGCUCCGCGGGGCGCGCCCGGGGCUCCCGGAGCGGAAUGGGCGAAUUUAACACCCUUUGAAGACCUUCCCUUUACAUUUUGGUGGACUCCUGCGAAGUUGUGGCAGAAGUUUAUUUUCCUAUUUCUGACUUUGUAAUAAAAAUAAACUAGGAGUCAAAGAUAUCAGCUCCUCUUCAAGUUAGAAAGCUGAGACUUCACCUCAUCCUCCGCAAGCGGGAACUCUCUCCAGGCUCCGUCCAGUACUCACCUUACAAUAACAAGGGCCACCUUUUGUUGGACACUGGGCAGGGCGCUGUGUAGACACUUUAUAGACAUGACCUCCUUUAAUAUACAACCCCAGGACUGUUAAUAUCCCCAUUUUAUCAAGGAGUGAACUGAGGUUCAGAGAAGUUAAGUGUCAUCUAAAGUCACACAGCUAAAUGGCAGACUUGGGAUGAGCUCCCUUGUCUGUCUGACUCUAGACAGGAACUUUUUGUGGCAAUGGAAUGUUGCGAACAGAACUUUAGGUAACCUAACUGCAGGCACCUGGGCAGAGAGUCUCACUCUCUAAUUACUAUUCUUCUUGAGCUAUUUCCUUGAGAUCUGACCCCAAGAGUGAAGUCUGUGAACCCAAAGGCAUAGGAAGACAUCGUCUUGUCAGGCCAGGUUUCCUCAGGACCACUGGGCUGAUUCACACCCCACAUGAGUGAGUUCCUGUUUCCCCACAGACCAGCUGUGGGCUUCAUCAUUUUAACUGAUUUUUGCUAAAUUUGUUGGUAAGAACUGGGAUCUUCUUGGCUGUAAUAAUCAUAUUUGCGUGUCAUUAAGGAUUAUAAUGACUGAAAUGUUCCUUAGUAUUUAAA
This is a long non-coding RNA of Lagenorhynchus albirostris (white-beaked dolphin), 1016 nucleotides long. RefSeq lists it as uncharacterized. The record is from RefSeq and is a predicted model, not a curated record. The transcript has 2 exons. Lineage: Eukaryota; Metazoa; Chordata; Mammalia; Artiodactyla; Delphinidae.